UAGGGAAUCUUCGGCAAUGGACGGAAGUCUGACCGAGCAACGCCGCGUGAGUGAAGAAGGUUUUCGGAUCGUAAAGCUCUGUUGUUAGAGAAGAACGUUGGUAGGAGUGGAAAAUCUACCAAGUGACGGUAACUAACCAGAAAGGGACGGCUAACUACGUGCCAGCAGCCGCGGUAAUACGUAGGUCCCGAGCGUUGUCCGGAUUUAUUGGGCGUAAAGCGAGCGCAGGCGGUUCUUUAAGUCUGAAGUUAAAGGCAGUGGCUUAACCAUUGUACGCUUUGGAAACGGGAGGACUUGAGUGCAGAAGGGGAGAGGGGAAUUCCAGGUGUAGCGGUGAAAUGCGUAGAUAUAUGGAGGAACACCGGGGGCGAAAGCGGCUCUCUGGUCUGUAACUGACGCUGAGGCUCGAAAGCGUGGGGAGCAAACAGG
RNAcentral lists this ribosomal RNA (429 nucleotides) under Bacillota bacterium. RNAcentral's name for it is "Firmicutes bacterium partial 16S ribosomal RNA". It matches the Rfam family "Bacterial small subunit ribosomal RNA", at positions 355 to 776 of the family's 1533-position model. The record is from RNAcentral. Lineage: Bacteria; Bacillati; Bacillota.